RNAcentral lists this long non-coding RNA (857 nucleotides) under Mytilus galloprovincialis (Mediterranean mussel). The record is from RNAcentral. Lineage: Eukaryota; Metazoa; Mollusca; Bivalvia; Mytilida; Mytilidae.
GGCUCGACAAGAACCACACCAUUAAAAAUUGUUUGGUGAUGAGAUGUAAACAAUAUACUCCGGUUAAUAUAAUGGGUACCCAGGUUAGGGCAGGAUGGUGCCUUCAAAUUAGUUGAGCCCCGCCACAUUCGGUAUGUGCCUGUCCCAAGUCAGGAGCAUGUAAUUCAGUGUAAUGGUUGUCGUUUGUUGCUGUAUCAUAUUUGUUUUUCUUUCAUUAUUUUGUACAUAAAUCAGGCCGUUAGUUUUCUCGUUUGAAUUGUUUGUGUGGAUAUGAAUUAUUAAAAGAGUCAAAGCAGGGACUUUCUAUACUAACUAGUAUAGACUGUCCCUGGUCAGAGUCAAUCUCUCUCACCAACAAAAAAGCAAGCCUAAUGUCAAUUACUUUAUCAAUGGACGUCUCCUUGUACGCGUGAAGGAUACAUCUAUAGCCCCGAAAAUCGUUCGGUUGUCAUCGUAUAACGCAGAUACGUUUUAACCCUGACACUGAAACUGCGUUGAUUUAGCGGUGGAAUUGGUCACAGGCAUUGUCAAUUCUGCGUUGCAUUGUAAAUAGCAGAACACCCUGCAGACACAAUAUUCGUCUGCUAUAAAAAGAGGGGAAAUAAAGCGCUAGUAAUGGGAACGAACGCCGAGAGUCUGAGAAGUGAUAUCAACUCGUUGACUUCUACAACUUUUUGUUUAUUUAACCACACAGUGCCCAUUUAUUUUCCCCUUCACUUUCUCUCACUCGGAGUCUCCUCCCUCUCUCUCAUACCUCUAGCUCGUUUUUUUUUUAUUUUUUUUUAUUAUGAUUUUUGUUUUUUGACAAAACGAUGUUGAAGCCUUGGCUUCCGAGCUUCCGCCUAGCUACGCCACUG